AUUAAAUCUAACAAUAUCAUAUCUAAAAAUAUUAUAAAGUUUAUCCCUUUAUAGUUUCAUGUUAUAUAAACAAAAAAAUCUCAACGUAACAAGCCAAUUCUUCAACUCCAAAAUCUGCCCAAUUGUAAGAUUAACAUAGAUUACGAUUUAACAUCGGUAGAAUGAUGUAGUAUAUAUGUGUUAUUAAUUAGAUCAAUGUACGACUUAUAGCGUUAACAUAAUAUUAUUUAUUUUAUUUACUUGUGUUAUUGAUUAGAGAUAGAGUACCCAAAAACCAAUGGAAAUCUAAUAAAAGUAAUGUUAGUCAAGAGAUUUUGUAAGUAAUAAUGAACUAUUAAAGUUUAAUCAAACAUAGGAACGUGAAUCACUUGAUAGGUGAAUUCACAAUUAUUUUUAUAUUGUUUAAAAGAAAACUUAAAAUAAAAAUUAUCUUUAAAAUUGUUAGUUACUUCAAAUUUUAAUUUAAAAACUAAAUUAAUAAAUUUUCUGUUUUACGUGUAAA
RNAcentral lists this long non-coding RNA (502 nucleotides) under Arabidopsis lyrata. RNAcentral's name for it is "long non-coding RNA (ALYR_LNC003092)". Lineage: Eukaryota; Viridiplantae; Streptophyta; Magnoliopsida; Brassicales; Brassicaceae. The record is from RNAcentral.